Molecule: long non-coding RNA, 221 nt
Organism: Limanda limanda (common dab)
Lineage: Eukaryota; Metazoa; Chordata; Actinopteri; Pleuronectiformes; Pleuronectidae
Exons: 3
Source: RefSeq, a predicted model, not a curated record
AAACACAACGAGGCGGUCACUGCGCGUGAGGCCGAGACGCUGAAAGUCCGGAUUUAAAGUGCAGAAAAUUAAGCCAUUGAAUCUGCCUGUCCAUGACGUACAAAGACACACUAUGAGCCAGUAUGAUCCGACCAGACCUUACAUCAGCAUUGAGGAGUUGUCGGAGAAGAAAGAGGCUGAUUGAAGUGGGACAGAUGACAUGGAUCCAUCCUUCCACAGUC